AAUCGAAAAACAAAACGCGCGUGUGUGUGCUCACUUUGCCAUGCAGCCUCCUUUCUCUGCCGCGCUCCUUCUCUCAGUUCUUGCCCCUGGCCCUGUCCCUCUUUCUCUCCCCCUCACUUCCCUCCGCCUCUUCUCUGCCUUGCACCGUCGUUGAUUGUGCGCACACGCACUCUUGUCGCCUCCACCCGCUCCCUUUUCAAGUGUGCGUGGGCUCCCGUUGCUCUCUUCUCUGUAUUUUUCUGCGGCCUCGUCGAGAGUGCCACACUCACUUGAAGCAGAGAAGUAGAAAACAAAAACGCGAGGCGGAGAGGUGGUGUGAAGGCAGCCGGAACUCCAAGAGUAGCACGAGGAUCUCUCGAGGCAAAUACAGACAGCACACAACCACACACGCAAGCGCACAACUUUGCGGGCGUGCUAGUAAAAGGUAACGCUCUUUCUGUGUGUUGCUUUUUCUCUGUGCGUGCUUUCCCUUGUGUUUCAAAUUGCUCUCCUCCGUUUUCCUUGCUUAUUUUUGUGUCGUUCAAAACAUUUCACUU
This 536-nucleotide unclassified non-coding RNA is filed under the name Leishmania donovani. RNAcentral's name for it is "gene:unknown". Lineage: Eukaryota; Euglenozoa; Kinetoplastea; Trypanosomatida; Trypanosomatidae. The record is from RNAcentral.